This 292-nucleotide ribosomal RNA is filed under the name uncultured bacterium. RNAcentral describes it as "partial 16S ribosomal RNA". RNAcentral also lists the same sequence under 1 other name. The record is from RNAcentral.
GGACUACCGGGGUAUCUAAUCCUGUUUGCUCCCCUAGCUUUCGUGCCUCAGUGUCAGGUUUUGUCCAGGGACUCGCCUUCGCCACUGGUGUUCCUCUCGAUAUCUACGCAUUUCACUGCUACACCGAGAAUUCCAGUCCCCCCUCCAAACCUCCAGCAGGGUAGUUUCCAAUGCCAUUUCGGAGUUGAGCUCCGAGAUUUCACAUCCGACUUUCCCCACCACCUACGCACCCUUUACGCCCAGUGAAUCCGAACAACGCUCGGGACCUCUGUAUUACCGCGGCUGCUGGCAC